GUCAUCUGCAAUAAAAGCCUUACUGGUUGAGUUCAGCCCACCUGAAGCUCCUGGGUCUCGUCCCACCUUCUUUCCUCGAGUGUGAUCUUGCCUGCUAUGGGCAGAACACCGGGGAGGCAGAGUGGUGUGGGCCACUUCUGCACCACAGGCUUUCCGAAGUGAUUUAAAAUGUUUCAUUCCACGCAUCUCCUGUCAUGCCCAGCACUGGUGGCCAUCCUUGUAUGACCAAUGCUGUGAAGGAGCUAAAGUCUGGGUUCAGGGCUGUCCCUCCAGCAGGAAUCUCCACCUCCUCAGGGUCCCUCGCAGGGGUGGCCCCCCCGUUCACCUACAAAAUGUUCAUAAAUAUGAGCCAGAGCCCACCACCCAGUCCCCUCCCUGGAGUCCUGACCCCAAAGUGGAAGGAUUCCAGAGCCACUGUGGCAGACACCGGAAAACCUCCAAAACUCUAAUUCUGUUUUAGAGAAUCAUUCCUUCUGCCCAUAUUUAUAGAGAUGCCAACAUGAUAGCAAAUGCCAAGUAGUGCACUUUUAAAAUACCUGUAGUCUUUAUAUUUAAAAUUUGAAAUAGUGAGACCAAAAUAUUUUAAUUGAGAAUUGCUUAAUGUCAGAGUAGGCUGCCCUAGUGAAUUAGAAAUCGCUCUCACCACAACCAGAUGGCUGUGCCUCCAGGAUACAGCCCCGUCAUCCUGGCUGGUGGGCAUGGCUUCCGCCCUGCUGUCCACCUGCACGGGACCACCUUCUUGCGAUUAUGGGGACUAUUAUGCUGUUAUUUUAACAUUCACUGUUAUUCUAAUUUAAAAUCUUCUUUAUAUGCUAUAAUAAUGUCAUCCAAGUAUUCAUUAAGUAGUGGUGGCCGUGCUCGUGCUGAAAAAUGUACCCAAAAAUCAAUAACUUUGGUGCGGAAGUUAAAUGUGAUAAAACGCUAUGAAGAAGGCCAAGCAAGACCAUGAUACCCUGGGCUGUUAAUUUAGGAGAGAGCAUUCUGCGAGGUGUUAGAGAGAGUGCUGAGAAAAUAAAAAGUAGCAUUAAGGCAAAGAUA
Pipistrellus kuhlii (Kuhl's pipistrelle) is the source of this 1038-nucleotide long non-coding RNA. RefSeq lists it as uncharacterized. The transcript has 2 exons. The record is from RefSeq and is a predicted model, not a curated record. NCBI's taxonomy places the organism in Eukaryota, Metazoa, Chordata, Mammalia, Chiroptera, Vespertilionidae.